RNAcentral lists this small nuclear RNA (85 nucleotides) under Octodon degus (degu). Its description in RNAcentral is "U4 spliceosomal RNA (ENSODEG00000023680.1)". It matches the Rfam family "U4 spliceosomal RNA", at positions 1 to 84 of the family's 138-position model. From Rfam's summary of the family: U4 small nuclear RNA (U4 snRNA) is a component of the major U2-dependent spliceosome. The structure of U4 snRNA from yeast and human has been reported. Lineage: Eukaryota; Metazoa; Chordata; Mammalia; Rodentia; Octodontidae. The record is from RNAcentral.
ACCUUUGCACAGUGGCAAUAUCGUAGCCAGUGAGGUUUAUCUGAGGUGCGAUUAUUGCUGUUUUGAAUAUUAUUACAGAAAAUCC